Molecule: ribosomal RNA, 614 nt
Filed under: fungal endophyte
Lineage: Eukaryota; Fungi
Description: eukaryotic LSU rRNA
Rfam family: 5.8S ribosomal RNA (bases 258-411)
Source: RNAcentral
UUUCUUGGUCAAUUUAGAGGAAGUAAAAGUCGUAACAAGGUUUCCGUAGGUGAACCUGCGGAAGGAUCAUUACACAAUGUUCUCGGGGGGCCGGACCCAAGGCCAUGUGCUCUGCAUGUGGCUUUGACCCGCUCUGUCUGAAUAUUAUACCCAUGUCUUUUGCGAACUAUUUGUUUCCUUGGUGGGCUUGCCUGCCACUAGGACAUUAUAAAACCUUUUGUAAUUGCAGUCAGCGUCAGAAAAACUUUAAUAGUUACAACUUUCAACAACGGAUCUCUUGGUUCUGGCAUCGAUGAAGAACGCAGCGAAAUGCGAUAAGUAGUGUGAAUUGCAGAAUUCAGUGAAUCAUCGAAUCUUUGAACGCACAUUGCGCCCCUUGGUAUUCCAUGGGGCAUGCCUGUUCGAGCGUCAUUUGUACCUUCAAGCUCUGCUUGGUGUUGGGUGUUUGUCCCGUGUUACGCGUGGACUCGCCUUAAAGCGAUUGGCAGCCGGCAUAUUGGCCUGGGAGCGCAGCACAUUUUGCGCUUCUUGUCAUGAUUGUUGGCGUCCAUUAAGCCUAUACAUUUGCUCUUGACCUCGGAUCAGGGGAUACCCGCUGAACUUAAGCAUAUCAA